Molecule: ribosomal RNA, 484 nt
Filed under: uncultured bacterium
Lineage: Bacteria
Description: partial 16S ribosomal RNA
Rfam family: Bacterial small subunit ribosomal RNA
Source: RNAcentral
AUUGAACGCUGGCGGCAUGCUUUACACAUGCAAGUCGAACGGCAGCGCGGGCUUCGGCCUGGCGGCGAGUGGCGAACGGGUGAGUAAUGCAUCGGAACGUGCCCAGUAGUGGGGGAUAGCCCGGCGAAAGCCGGAUUAAUACCGCAUACGACCUGAGGGUGAAAGCGGGGGACCGAAAGCCCUCGCGCUAUUGGAGCGGCCGAUGUCGGAUUAGCUAGGUGGUGGGGUAAAGGCUUACCAAGGCGACGAUCCGUAGCUGGUCUGAGAGGACGACCAGCCACACUGGGACUGAGACACGGCCCAGACUCCUACGGGAGGCAGCAGUGGGGAAUUUUGGACAAUGGGGGCAACCCUGAUCCAGCCAUGCCGCGUGCGGGAAGAAGGCCUUCGGGUUGUAAAACGCUUUUGUUCGGGAAGAAAUCCUCUGGGCUAAUACCCCGGGGGGAUGACGGUACCGGAAGAAUAAGCACCGGCUAACUACGUG